Molecule: ribosomal RNA, 357 nt
Filed under: uncultured bacterium
Lineage: Bacteria
Description: partial 16S ribosomal RNA
Rfam family: Bacterial small subunit ribosomal RNA
Source: RNAcentral
CCUACGGGAGGCUGCAGUGAGGAAUAUUGGUCAAUGGUCGGGAGACUGAACCAGCCAAGCCGCGUGAGGGAGGAAGGUACAGAGUAUCGUAAACCUCUUUUGUCAGGGAACAAAGGCGGGGACGUGUCCCCGGAUGAGUGUACCUGAAGAAAAAGCAUCGGCUAACUCCGUGCCAGCAGCCGCGGUAAUACGGAGGAUGCGAGGGUUAUCCGGAUUGAUUGGGUUUAAAGGGUGGGCAGGCGGUCUGUUAAGUCACCGGUCAAAGCCCGGGGUGCACCCCCGGCCCGCCGUUGAAACUGGCAGUCUCGAGUUGGAGAGAAGUAUGCGGAAUGCGCGGUGUAGCGGUGAAAUGCAUAG